GGUAAAGGGUGUCAAGAGCCUACCAAGGAGGAACUCAAGGCUGUCCUUGGGGUACAUUCAGAAGCGCUUAAUGAGAAGUACCUUGGUCUCCCAACACUGGUUGGAAGAUCAAAAGAUGGUACUUUCACGUACGUCAUGGAGAGCUCGAAAGGCAAAGUAAGUGGUUGGAAGGGGCAGGGGCUGUCUAAGAAGGCAAGAGAAGUUCUUAUUAAGUCAGGACUCCAAGCUGUACUGACGUUCACCAUGAGUUGUUUCCACCUUACAAAGAAAAUGUGCCGAAAUCUGUCUUCUAUCUCUGCAAAAUUC
RNAcentral lists this ribosomal RNA (306 nucleotides) under Triticum aestivum (bread wheat). RNAcentral's name for it is "partial small subunit ribosomal RNA". Lineage: Eukaryota; Viridiplantae; Streptophyta; Magnoliopsida; Poales; Poaceae. The record is from RNAcentral.